CGGGGCAUAGCGCAGUCUGGUAGCGCAUCUGCUUUGGGAGCAGAGGGGCGGGGGGUCAAAUCCCUCUGCCCCGACCA
This 77-nucleotide transfer RNA is filed under the name Gammaproteobacteria bacterium. RNAcentral's name for it is "tRNA-Pro". It matches the Rfam family "tRNA". Rfam says of the family: Transfer RNA (tRNA) molecules are approximately 80 nucleotides in length. Their secondary structure includes four short double-helical elements and three loops (D, anti-codon, and T loops). Lineage: Bacteria; Pseudomonadati; Pseudomonadota; Gammaproteobacteria. The record is from RNAcentral.